Molecule: ribosomal RNA, 422 nt
Filed under: uncultured bacterium
Lineage: Bacteria
Description: bacterial SSU rRNA
Rfam family: Bacterial small subunit ribosomal RNA
Source: RNAcentral
AAUUUUUCGCAAUGGGGGAAACCCUGACGAAGCAACGCCGCGUGGAGGAUGAAGGCCUUCGGGUUGUAAACUCCUGUCGACCGGGACGAAAGUAGUCCGACCCAAUACGUCGGGCUAUCGACUGUACCGGUGGAGGAAGCCACGGCUAACUCUGUGCCAGCAGCCGCGGUAAUACAGAGGUGGCAAGCGUUGUUCGGAAUUACUGGGCGUAAAGGGCGCGUAGGCGGCCUUCUAAGUCGGACGUGAAAGCCCCAGGCUUAACCUGGGAACUGCGUCCGAUACUGGGAGGCUUGGAUUCGGGAGAGGGAUGUGGAAUUCCAGGUGUAGCGGUGAAAUGCGUAGAUAUCUGGAGGAACACCGGUGGCGAAGGCGGCAUCCUGGACCGAGAUCGACGCUGAGGCGCGAAAGCUAGGGGAGCAAAC